CAAAAACAUAGCCAUUCGGUGGAUGUAUGGUUAAGUCUGCUCARUGGAGUAAAUGGCUGCAGUACCCUGACUGUGCAAAGGUAGCGCAAUCAAUUGGCUUUUAAUUGGAGUCCUGAAUGAAUGAAUUAAUGGGGGAUAACUAUAUUGGGAGUAAUUAAUGAAAUUACUAAGUGAGUGAAAAUACUCAUAGGAGAAUAAUAGACGAGAAGACCCUUGAAAUUUUAAGAUACUAUAUUAAUUCUUUUUGUUGGGGCAACAAAGUAACAUUUAACUUACUUUAAGACAAGGUGAUUAUUAUAUGAAAGAUUAAAUUACUCUAGGGAUAACAGCAUAAUUCUUUGUGUGUUUAUGACCUCGAUGUUGGAUUAGGGAGUUAUUAUUUAGAAGAUAAAUGACCAUGCUCUGUUCG
This 409-nucleotide ribosomal RNA is filed under the name Jacksonena delicata. RNAcentral describes it as "partial 16S ribosomal RNA". It matches the Rfam family "Bacterial large subunit ribosomal RNA", at positions 1808 to 2583 of the family's 2925-position model. The record is from RNAcentral. Lineage: Eukaryota; Metazoa; Mollusca; Gastropoda; Stylommatophora; Camaenidae.